Molecule: transfer RNA, 82 nt
Filed under: Saccoglossus kowalevskii
Lineage: Eukaryota; Metazoa; Hemichordata; Enteropneusta; Harrimaniidae
Description: tRNA-Ser
Rfam family: tRNA
About the family: Transfer RNA (tRNA) molecules are approximately 80 nucleotides in length. Their secondary structure includes four short double-helical elements and three loops (D, anti-codon, and T loops). Further hydrogen bonds mediate the characteristic L-shaped molecular structure. tRNAs have two regions of fundamental functional importance: the anti-codon, which is responsible for specific mRNA codon recognition, and the 3' end, to which the tRNAs corresponding amino acid is attached (by aminoacyl-tRNA synthetases). tRNAs cope with the degeneracy of the genetic code in two manners: having more than one tRNA (with a specific anti-codon) for a particular amino acid; and 'wobble' base-pairing, i.e. permitting non-standard base-pairing at the 3rd anti-codon position.
Source: RNAcentral
GCUGUGAUGGCCGAGUGGUUAAGGCGUUGGACUUGAAAUCCAAUGGGGUCUCCACGCGCAGGUUCGAACUCUGCUUGCAGCC